ACACAAAAAAUCCUAUAAAAACAACUUUGGUAUUUUAAUCCGUUUAAUAAUUUCAGUUUGAAGUUUUUGCAGAAAGUAUACCUUUCUAUGGAUUGGUUCUCUAAGUGUGCACUUACAGAAACUAAAGUUUAUAAUUUAAGACUUAUCUGCGACCUCCAACCCUAGCAGCAUCACACCACACAUAUCUGAACUGUUUCUGCCUCCUCUUUCGUCCCAUAAGACCAUCCCCCUCCAACACCGUUUUGAAAGCGAAAGUCUCCUAGUGCAUAGCUUGGUUGAACUUCGCUUGGUGGUGCACUAAUUGGCCUAACGGUCAACUCACAUCCUCCAUCCAUCCGGUGAUGACUUUGAUCCCUGUCUUGGCCAUGGUUCUCUUGAUGAGGUAGUCAAUUUCUGGUGGCCAAGUGAAACCACAAUUUCCUUCUGGUAAGUCUUUGUCGUUCUUCCCCGGUGUGAAAUUAAUCUCAUCACCACAUGUUGGAAAUCAAUUGUCUUUGUGAUUUUAU
RNAcentral lists this long non-coding RNA (506 nucleotides) under Eutrema salsugineum. RNAcentral's name for it is "long non-coding RNA (ESAL_LNC000989)". Lineage: Eukaryota; Viridiplantae; Streptophyta; Magnoliopsida; Brassicales; Brassicaceae. The record is from RNAcentral.